This is a non-coding RNA of Pelobates cultripes (western spadefoot toad), 144 nucleotides long. Lineage: Eukaryota; Metazoa; Chordata; Amphibia; Anura; Pelobatidae. The record is from the annotation of a GenBank genome assembly.
CAGUGUCCCCAGGUCUCCCAGUGUUCCCUAGUAUCUCAGUGUCCCCAGGUCUCUCAAUGUCCCCCAGUGUCCUAGUGACAUGGGGACACUGGGAGACCUGAGGACACUGAGAUACUAGGGAACACUGGGAGACCUGGGGACACU